This 490-nucleotide ribosomal RNA is filed under the name uncultured Atopobium sp. Its description in RNAcentral is "bacterial SSU rRNA". It matches the Rfam family "Bacterial small subunit ribosomal RNA", at positions 1 to 507 of the family's 1533-position model. Lineage: Bacteria; Bacillati; Actinomycetota; Coriobacteriia; Coriobacteriales; Atopobiaceae. The record is from RNAcentral.
UAGAGUUUGAUCCUGGACUCAGGAUGAACGCUGGCGGCGCGCCUAACACAUGCAAGUCGAACGGUUAAAGCAUCUUCGGAUGUGUAUAAAGUGGCGAACGGCUGAGUAACACGUGGGCAACCUGCCCUUUGCACUGGGAUAGCCUCGGGAAACCGAGGUUAAUACCGGAUACUCCAUAUUUGUCGCAUGGCGAAUAUGGGAAAGCUCCGGCGGCAAAGGAUGGGCCCGCGGCCUGUUAGCUAGUUGUGGGGUAGUGGCCUACCAAGGCAAUGAUGGGUAGCCGGGUUGAGAGACCGACCGGCCAGAUUGGGACUGAGACACGGCCCAGACUCCUACGGGAGGCAGCAGUGGGGAAUCUUGCACAAUGGGCGAAAGCCUGAUGCAGCGACGCCGCGUGCGGGAUGAAGGCCUUCGGGUUGUAAACCGCUUUCAGCAGGGACGGGGCCGCAAGGUGACGGUACCUGCAGAAGAAGCCCCGGCUAACUACGUG